Molecule: non-coding RNA, 24 nt
Filed under: Mus musculus (house mouse)
Lineage: Eukaryota; Metazoa; Chordata; Mammalia; Rodentia; Muridae
Also listed under: 1 other name
Source: RNAcentral
UGCCCUGAGCAUGUUGAUCUCUUU